This 810-nucleotide ribosomal RNA is filed under the name Klebsiella pneumoniae. RNAcentral's name for it is "bacterial SSU rRNA". It matches the Rfam family "Bacterial small subunit ribosomal RNA", at positions 38 to 840 of the family's 1533-position model. Lineage: Bacteria; Pseudomonadati; Pseudomonadota; Gammaproteobacteria; Enterobacterales; Enterobacteriaceae. The record is from RNAcentral.
GGGGGCGGCCUAAACAUGCAAGUCGAGCGGUAGCACAGAGAGCUUGCUCUCGGGUGACGAGCGGCGGACGGGUGAGUAAUGUCUGGGAAACUGCCUGAUGGAGGGGGAUAACUACUGGAAACGGUAGCUAAUACCGCAUAACGUCGCAAGACCAAAGUGGGGGACCUUCGGGCCUCAUGCCAUCAGAUGUGCCCAGAUGGGAUUAGCUAGUAGGUGGGGUAACGGCUCACCUAGGCGACGAUCCCUAGCUGGUCUGAGAGGAUGACCAGCCACACUGGAACUGAGACACGGUCCAGACUCCUACGGGAGGCAGCAGUGGGGAAUAUUGCACAAUGGGCGCAAGCCUGAUGCAGCCAUGCCGCGUGUGUGAAGAAGGCCUUCGGGUUGUAAAGCACUUUCAGCGGGGAGGAAGGCGUUAAGGUUAAUAACCUUGUCGAUUGACGUUACCCGCAGAAGAAGCACCGGCUAACUCCGUGCCAGCAGCCGCGGUAAUACGGAGGGUGCAAGCGUUAAUCGGAAUUACUGGGCGUAAAGCGCACGCAGGCGGUCUGUCAAGUCGGAUGUGAAAUCCCCGGGCUCAACCUGGGAACUGCAUUCGAAACUGGCAGGCUAAAGUCUUGUAGAGGGGGGUACAAUUCCAGGUGUAACGGUGAAAUGCGUAGACAUCUGGAGGAAGAUCGCCGGGGAAGGCCCCCCGGUUGGAUAACGACUGUUCUUCAGGUGAGAAAGAGUGGGGAGCCAACAGGAUUAGAUACCCUGGUAGUCUCCGCCAUAAAUGAUGUCGAUUUGGAGGUUGCCCCCUGGAGGCGU